This 305-nucleotide ribosomal RNA is filed under the name uncultured soil bacterium. RNAcentral describes it as "bacterial SSU rRNA". It matches the Rfam family "Bacterial small subunit ribosomal RNA", at positions 26 to 325 of the family's 1533-position model. The record is from RNAcentral.
AGAUUGAACGCUAGCGGGAUGCUUUACACAUGCAAGUCGAACGGCAGCGCGGACUUCGGUCUGGCGGCGAGUGGCGAACGGGUGAGUAAUAUAUCGGAACGUGCCCAGUAGCGGGGGAUAACUACGCGAAAGCGUGGCUAAUACCGCAUACGCCCUACGGGGGAAAGGGGGGGAUUCGUUCGGAACCCUCUCACUAGUUGGAGCGGCCGAUAUCAGAUUAGCUAGUGGUAGAGGUAAAGGCUACACCAAGGCGACGAUCUGUAGCGUGGUUUGAGAGGGCGACCAGCCACACGUGGGACUGAGAC